UACGUAGGAUGCGAGCGUUAAUCGGAAUUACUGGGCGUAAAGCGUGCGCAGGCGGUUUUGUAAGCCAGAUGUGAAAUCCCCGGGCUCAACCUGGGAAUGGCAUUUGGGACUGCAGGGCUUGAGUGCGGCAGAGGAGACUGGAAUUCCUGGUGUAGCAGUGAAAUGCGUAGAUAUCAGGAGGAAUACCGGUGGCGAAGGCGGGUCUCUGGGCCGAUACUGACGCUGAGGAGCGAAAGCGUGGGGAGCGAACAGG
This 253-nucleotide ribosomal RNA is filed under the name uncultured bacterium. RNAcentral describes it as "partial 16S ribosomal RNA". It matches the Rfam family "Bacterial small subunit ribosomal RNA", at positions 524 to 776 of the family's 1533-position model. The record is from RNAcentral.